Molecule: ribosomal RNA, 855 nt
Filed under: Escherichia coli
Lineage: Bacteria; Pseudomonadati; Pseudomonadota; Gammaproteobacteria; Enterobacterales; Enterobacteriaceae
Description: partial 23S ribosomal RNA
Rfam family: Bacterial large subunit ribosomal RNA
Source: RNAcentral
UGUAUAAUGGGUCAGCGACUUAUAUUCUGUAGCAAGGUUAACCGAAUAGGGGAGCCGAAGGGAAACCGAGUCUUAACUGGGCGUUAAGUUGCAGGGUAUAGACCCGAAACCCGGUGAUCUAGCCAUGGGCAGGUUGAAGGUUGGGUAACACUAACUGGAGGACCGAACCGACUAAUGUUGAAAAAUUAGCGGAUGACUUGUGGCUGGGGGUGAAAGGCCAAUCAAACCGGGAGAUAGCUGGUUCUCCCCGAAAGCUAUUUAGGUAGCGCCUCGUGAAUUCAUCUCCGGGGGUAGAGCACUGUUUCGGCAAGGGGGUCAUCCCGACUUACCAACCCGAUGCAAACUGCGAAUACCGGAGAAUGUUAUCACGGGAGACACACGGCGGGUGCUAACGUCCGUCGUGAAGAGGGAAACAACCCAGACCGCCAGCUAAGGUCCCAAAGUCAUGGUUAAGUGGGAAACGAUGUGGGAAGGCCCAGACAGCCAGGAUGUUGGCUUAGAAGCAGCCAUCAUUUAAAGAAAGCGUAAUAGCUCACUGGUCGAGUCGGCCUGCGCGGAAGAUGUAACGGGGCUAAACCAUGCACCGAAGCUGCGGCAGCGACGCUUAUGCGUUGUUGGGUAGGGGAGCGUUCUGUAAGCCUGUGAAGGUGUGCUGUGAGGCAUGCUGGAGGUAUCAGAAGUGCGAAUGCUGACAUAAGUAACGAUAAAGCGGGUGAAAAGCCCGCUCGCCGGAAGACCAAGGGUUCCUGUCCAACGUUAAUCGGGGCAGGGUGAGUCGACCCCUAAGGCGAGGCCGAAAGGCGUAGUCGAUGGGAAACAGGUUAAUAUUCCUGUACUUGGUGUUACUGCGAAGGG